AUGGAGGGGCUCAGCGCAGGGGUGCCAAUGCUGUGUUGGCCCUUCUUCGCGGAGCAGCAGACCAAUUCCCGCUAUGCGUGCAUGGAGUGGGGUGUUGGGAUGGAAGUCGGCGACGACGUACGUCGUGAGGUGGUCGAGGAGAGGAUACGAGAGGUGAUGGGAGUAGGAGAGGCAGGGAGGGAGAUGAGGCGGAAGGCGGUGGAGUGGAGUGAGAUCGCCGUUCGUGCAACCGCACAACAUGGUGGCAGGUCGUUGGCCAACCUCGAGAGUCUGCUCAAGGAUGUACUAUUGAGUGCGGGUAAGAAUGUUGGCUAG
This 315-nucleotide ribosomal RNA is filed under the name Triticum aestivum (bread wheat). Its description in RNAcentral is "partial small subunit ribosomal RNA". Lineage: Eukaryota; Viridiplantae; Streptophyta; Magnoliopsida; Poales; Poaceae. The record is from RNAcentral.